RNAcentral lists this ribosomal RNA (492 nucleotides) under uncultured bacterium. Its description in RNAcentral is "partial 16S ribosomal RNA". It matches the Rfam family "Bacterial small subunit ribosomal RNA", at positions 29 to 507 of the family's 1533-position model. The record is from RNAcentral.
AGUGAACGCUGGCGGUAGGCCUAACACAUGCAAGUCGAACGGCAGCACAGUAAGAGCUUGCUCUUACGGGUGGCGAGUGGCGGACGGGUGAGGAAUACAUCGGAAUCUACUUUUUCGUGGGGGUUAACGUAGGGAAACUUACGCUAAUACCGCAUACGACCUACGGGUGAAAGCAGGGGAUCUUCGGACCUUGCGCGAUUGAAUGAGCCGAUGUCGGAUUAGCUAGUUGGCGGGGUAAAGGCCCACCAAGGCGACGAUCCGUAGCUGGUCUGAGAGGAUGAUCAGCCACACUGGAACGGAGACACGGUCCAGGCGCCUACGGGAGGCAGCAGUGGGGUAUAUUGGACAAUGGGCGCAAGCCUGAUCCAGCCGUACCGCGUGGGUGAAGAAGGCCUUCGGGUUGUAAAGCCCUUUUGUUGGGAAAGAAAAGCAGCAGGUUAAUACCCCGCUGUUCUGACGGUACCCAAAGAAUAAGCACCGGCUAACUUCGUG